GACGAACGCUGGCGGCGUGCUUAACACAUGCAAGUCGAACGAUGAAGCGGUGCUUGCACCGUGGAUUAGUGGCGAACGGGUGAGUAAUACGUGAGUGACCUACCUUUGACUCUGGGAUAAGCCUGGGAAACUGGGUCUAAUACCGGAUACGACCAAUCUCUGCAUGGGGUGUUGGUGGAAAGCGUUAUGGAGUGGUUUUAGAUGGGCUCACGGCCUAUCAGCUUGUUGGUGAGGUAAUGGCUUACCAAGGCGACGACGGGUAGCCGGCCUGAGAGGGUGACCGGCCACACUGGGACUGAGACACGGCCCAGACUCCUACGGGAGGCAGCAGUGGGGAAUAUUGCACAAUGGGCGCAAGCCUGAUGCAGCAACGCCGCGUGAGGGAUGACGGCCUUCGGGUUGUAAACCUCUGUUAGCAUCGAAGAAGCGAAAGUGACGGUAGGUGCAGAGAAAGCGCCGGCUAACUACGUG
This 471-nucleotide ribosomal RNA is filed under the name uncultured bacterium. RNAcentral's name for it is "partial 16S ribosomal RNA". It matches the Rfam family "Bacterial small subunit ribosomal RNA", at positions 28 to 507 of the family's 1533-position model. The record is from RNAcentral.